UACGUAGGUGGCAAGCGUUGUCCGGAAUCAUUGGGCGUAAAGGGCGCGUAGGCGGUUAAUUAAGUCAGAUGUGAAAACUCUGGGCUCAACCCGGAGAUUGCAUUUGAUACUGGUUAACUUGAGUGCAGGAGAGGACAGUGGAAUUCCUAGUGUAGCGGUGAAAUGCGUAGAUAUUAGGAGGAACACCAGUGGCGAAGGCGGCUGUCUGGACUGUAACUGACGCUGAGGCGCGAAAGCGUGGGGAGCAAACAGG
RNAcentral lists this ribosomal RNA (253 nucleotides) under uncultured prokaryote. RNAcentral's name for it is "partial 16S ribosomal RNA". It matches the Rfam family "Bacterial small subunit ribosomal RNA", at positions 524 to 776 of the family's 1533-position model. The record is from RNAcentral.